This 253-nucleotide ribosomal RNA is filed under the name uncultured bacterium. RNAcentral describes it as "partial 16S ribosomal RNA". It matches the Rfam family "Bacterial small subunit ribosomal RNA", at positions 524 to 776 of the family's 1533-position model. The record is from RNAcentral.
GACGAACCGUGCGAACGUUGUUCGGAUUCACUGGGCUUAAAGGGCGCGUAGGCGGCGGCUCAAGUCGGGGGUGAAAUCGUUCCGCUUAACGGGACAAUAGCCUCCGAUACUGGGCCGCUCGAGGGAGGUAGGGGUGCGCGGAACUUCCGGUGGAGCGGUGAAAUGCGUAGAUAUCGGAAGGAACGCCGGUGGCGAAAGCGGCGCACUGGAUCUCCACUGACGCUGAGGCGCGAAAGCUAGGGGAGCAAACGGG